Molecule: long non-coding RNA, 356 nt
Filed under: Rhinopithecus bieti (black snub-nosed monkey)
Lineage: Eukaryota; Metazoa; Chordata; Mammalia; Primates; Cercopithecidae
Description: lncRNA (ENSRBIG00000045183.1)
Source: RNAcentral
CCAGAAUGUUCCCCCAGUGAGAACUCUGACCCCUUCAGAACCAACCUGGCAAUUGGAAUUUCCUUCAUCUACUGGAUUCUCCUUGCCAAGUAAUUUCUGGGAAUUCCUCAGUCUUGCUCACUUGUUGUACCACUCUCUCCUGGAUGUCACUUGUCACCUCUACCAGCCCUCCUUUCUCCAGAUGGCUUCUUCAUAACCACCAGAGCACGUGUAAGACCAGAUAGCAGUAUCUGAAAAAUUUCUUCAGACAGCUUUGGCAUACUGCAAGAGAACUACAACACAGAAGAGGAGAACUGAGAGGUUAGCUCCACUCAUGCUUCUAGGUCUUGCCCUUUAAGAGCUGGUUUCCUUCUGGC